CUCUACAAGUGUGACAUCAGCGGUCAUGGAGAGUCUCCAUCCAGCUGGAUCACUGUCACAGACAAACACACCACCACACCUCCACCUACAUCCACCUCUCCUCCUGGUUCCACCUCCAUCACUCUUCCUCCAUCACUCUCUCCUGCUGUUCUCUCUGUGUUGUCAUGUGUUGGAUCAGUCUGUGUUGUGGUUCUACUGGUGUUACUGGUUCUGCUGGUGAGACAAUGUGUUCACAGGAAACCUGAAGCUGAAAAGGAGAAAACUUCAGAAGACAACAUCACAUAUAGUGAUGUCAAAAUAUCCAAUUGCCAACAACAGAUUGCCCAACAAAACAGAGAGAGUGAUCCGGCUGCAGUCUCUCCAGCAGUGAGAACAGACUACGUCACUUAUGGGCAAAUCAUCAUCAAAGACAAGAAAAAAAAGUCAGAGAGUGAUCCAGCUGCAGUGUACUCAGGAGUGAGAACAGAAGACAUCAAUUACGGACAAAUAGCCUUCAGACCAAAGAGGAAAAAAGACUUUAAACCAGAGCCAGACGUCGUCUACUCUUCACUGAAGUAGUCCACCAGUCCAACCACUGACGUCCAGCUGCUGGUCUCUAACUGGUCCACCCAGCACCACCACAGACACAUCCAUAUGUUGAAAAGAUUUCUUUUUGAUGUGUUGUGUCUUUUAUUUGACUUAUUACAUCCUCCUCCACUUACAAAUUCAGGGUUGCAGUGGGGCUGGAGCCUAUCCCAGCUGCUGUAGGACAAGACUCAGGGUACACUUUCAGCAGGUCCCCAGUCUUGCAGGGCUAACACAGAGAGAAUUCACACCUACGGCAAUUUAGAAUAAUCAAUUAACCUAACCCCACUAACUGAAUGUUUUUGGACUGAGGGAGGAAGCCAAAGUACCUGCAGAGACCCACACAAACACAAGGAGAACAUGCAAACUUCAACAUCAGCAAUAUUAAUAUAAAUAUUUUAAUAUAUCUUAUGUUGCCAGUAACUUUACUGUUAUUUCCUUUCUUGUUUGUUGGAUCCAGUAUUUGUUCUCAUGGCAGUGAUCUGGUUUCUUAUUAAACUUUUGUUCUCUUGUGUGUUUC
Molecule: long non-coding RNA, 1084 nt
Organism: Oreochromis niloticus (Nile tilapia)
Lineage: Eukaryota; Metazoa; Chordata; Actinopteri; Cichliformes; Cichlidae
Exons: 6
Source: RefSeq, a predicted model, not a curated record